Molecule: long non-coding RNA, 645 nt
Organism: Mytilus californianus (California mussel)
Lineage: Eukaryota; Metazoa; Mollusca; Bivalvia; Mytilida; Mytilidae
Exons: 2
Source: RefSeq, a predicted model, not a curated record
UUGUAGAACGUCAGUAUCUUAUAAAUGCUAUAUUCUGCAGACUUCGGUGUAUAAUACAUGUCCACAUUUUACAUCUAAUUAAUUAAGUAGUGUCCACUAUUUACUUGGGCAUUUACCUGUAAACUUGUCGAACGGGUUGAGUAACAGUGAUACCUGUAUUUGAUGAGCUGACUAUUCACUCUCAGGUAACACCUUAACGAGUCAAGGUGUGGUCAGAAAUGUUUGUAUAAAGUUAGUUUACAAUGUGGCGUGGACACACACACUGGAUUUCUGAGGUCCCAGUUUGCGGGCUAGGUGUAUGUAGUUUUGUAUUGUAAAGUAUGGAGAUAUAGUACAGAUGGUGGUGAAACCUGUUGACAGUGCGGCGUUCCGUGUUUAUCAUCAAUAGUUUGGCAACAUAGAAUAUUUGGAGUCGAGUCUAGACAAUAGGGCAGCCGUAAUGUGUACACCGCUUAUGUUGGGCCAGUUUUGUGUAGUUACCGAAAACCAAAUACGUAAAAUUCCGUAGUAUCGUUUAUCCAGAUUUCAUAGUUUAAUAUAAAGAAGAAGGAACAGUUCAUUAAACAUUUGACAGUAUUAUUUCAUUUGAUUUCAUCUAUUUAUAUUUGUAAAUUUGUACCUAAUUAAAUUGUUAUUUUGUUUAAA